RNAcentral lists this ribosomal RNA (204 nucleotides) under Triticum aestivum (bread wheat). RNAcentral's name for it is "partial small subunit ribosomal RNA". The record is from RNAcentral. Lineage: Eukaryota; Viridiplantae; Streptophyta; Magnoliopsida; Poales; Poaceae.
AUGAAGGAAGCACACUACAUCGGACCGGCGAAUUUACUGGCUACUGUAUGUACAGCGCAUUACAGGCACAUCCGUAGACCGCGUGGCCCAUGUGCGCCAUCACUCCCCGCCCAGCCCAUUUACGGGUACCACGCGCACGAUGACAUGCGGGCCCGUCGCGUCAGCGGAGUCUCUGUAACUGUGAGCGCAUGCGCGUGCCAUUAA